UACAGAGGGUGCGAGCGUUGUCCGGAAUCACUGGGCGUAAAGGGCGCGUAGGUGGCGCGACAAGUCAGUGGUGAAAGCUCGACGCUCAACGUCGAGUCGGCCACUGAUACUGUUGGGCUUGAGCACUGUAGAGGCUAAUGGAAUUCCGGGUGUAGCGGUGGAAUGCGUAGAGAUCCGGAGAACACCGGUGGCGAAGGCGGUUAGCUGGGCAGUUGCUGACACUGAGGCGCGACAGCGUGGGGAGCAAACAGG
Molecule: ribosomal RNA, 252 nt
Filed under: uncultured bacterium
Lineage: Bacteria
Description: partial 16S ribosomal RNA
Rfam family: Bacterial small subunit ribosomal RNA
Source: RNAcentral